GGUGCGGACCCCUGCGUCCGAAGUUUGGGUAAUUGUCAGCGAUGUUCCCGCGGAAGAGUGGGACAGGUACAGUAGUCUGUGCGUGACAAGCCUCGCCGGUUAGCGUUCUUACAAAAGGCGAUCGGUUAGCGGACACAGCAGCCAACAAACGCACAACCGAUCUUUUUUAUCACAGGGUGUCGAAGCAGGUCUUCUUUCUCUCUCUCAGUGGCCGGGUGGGGAAUAGGAAAGGAGAGGGUUGUCUUAGUCAUGGCGUGCGUUGGAGAGGAGGGUUAAGUACCGGUAGCCGUCCUGCUGUCCUAGACCGGCUACCCUAAGCCGCUGGCCUGCUCCCGUACCCGCAGCUAGAAGGAGGAGGUCGAGGGUCAGUGUCCGCGGCGGUGGUAGCUGGUCUAGAAGUGGUGCCGGGGAGCGUGCUGGAGCAGCCGCUGCGCAGGAGGUCCCGUUUCGAUACCUCCUCAGGGACACGGUACGGUGCCUCGACCGCGUCCGGCAGCGGUUACGGGAGAAGAGCGACGGCCGCUGCCGGGGCAGCAGGCGGAGGGCGGCGGGUGGUUAGCGGAUGGGGUGCUCUUCGUAUAUAGUUGCUCUUCUGCAACAACCAUGAGACAGGCCUCCUCGCGCGGUAACGUGGUAGCUGUCCUUCUCCGAUCCACCUCGCGUCUCAGUGGUGGCCGACACGGGACCCGCUAGACGACUCAAUUUGGACAACAUCAGACUACAGGUACGAAAAAACGUGCGCGCCGUGGCGGCAGGCCUGCGGCUAGGGGCCAACGGAAGAAGUGUGAGGAGGAGGACGAGGUCAAGCGCGGGUCGGUUUUGCGCGCAGCUGCGGUCGCUUCAGGGGCGGCAGGAACAGGUGGCACCACAAGGUCGAGGUCUCACAGCAGAUAGGGUGGUCCGUAAUAAUACAGUGGUACUCGUAACCCUUAGGUGGGUUCUGAAUGAAGGACCCAUCGGGUUCAAACGAACUGACAAUCAACACGUCAGGAAAUAAGACAUUGACAUGGAUCUGAGGGUACCGUACGUCACAGUAAACAAAGACAUAAGAAAACAAGUACACAACGCGACCAGUUAUGUACCACUCGGAAGCAGUUCGCGUGAUCGGAACCAACGUUCUCUCGUUGUGGUACUCGAUCGAAGGAAGGAACGAACCAAGUGUUCACUCAAACCUAAUAAAACCCUUGGAGAAAAUCCUCAAACCUUAUGAGAUUCUUUAAUGACAUGCUCAACUCGCAUGAGACUCGUGGUGUACAUGGACAUCGCGCGGUGCUACUGGCCGUGUUCAGUACAAAGAGAGGUAAGAGGAGGAGAUCGAGGGAGGGAGAUCUAAGGUAACACCGAAAAUACACUUUCUCCGAUCUAGUACUUGUACACGCCACUCGAAAACACGAUGAAAUAAAAAUCUCGCUAAUGGUCAUAACGGUUACAGUCAUCUAUGAAAUAAAUAAAACACUACGUGAAUCGAGUUUAAUAAAAUAAAACAAAUCUAUAUUGAUCGUUUCACCGGGCGAGCUACGCACCCGAUCUGGAAAACUUUCAAAUUAUUACUCUUAUAUAAUAAAUUAAAUUGAGUACUUUAUAACCCCGGUUUACUCUACUUCAAAUAUUUAUAUUAUGAAAACUCUUGGACUGUCAAGCAAUUAAGUUCUGUACAAAUGACGUUCUCAGAAACCUCAGUAUUUAAACCAACGUAUGUACAAGGAUUGAUGCACUACGGUUAAACUCUACAUUCGUAAAAGAUAUUUUAGGUUUAGUUGUUUUCUCUUUUAGUUACGAAUUAUAAUACGUGGUACAUCUUUUGAUUUUGAGAAAUGUAUUGUGCUUAAAAUCAACUUUCGCUAUAAUUGAUUUAUAAAAAACAACUAGUAGUGAUGAUUGUGUAAGGAUGA
RNAcentral lists this ribosomal RNA (1892 nucleotides) under Triticum aestivum (bread wheat). Its description in RNAcentral is "partial small subunit ribosomal RNA". The record is from RNAcentral. Lineage: Eukaryota; Viridiplantae; Streptophyta; Magnoliopsida; Poales; Poaceae.